Molecule: ribosomal RNA, 484 nt
Filed under: uncultured bacterium
Lineage: Bacteria
Description: partial 16S ribosomal RNA
Rfam family: Bacterial small subunit ribosomal RNA
Source: RNAcentral
AUUGAACGCUGGCGGCAGGCCUAACACAUGCAAGUCGAGCGGAUGAAGGGAGCUUGCUCCUGGAUUCAGCGGCGGACGGGUGAGUAAUGCCUAGGAAUCUGCCUUGUAGUUGGGGAUAACGUCCGGAAACGGGCGCUAAUACCGCAUACGUCCUGAGGUAGAAAGUGGGGGAUCUUCGGACCUCACGCUAUCAGAUGAGCCUAGGUCGGAUUAGCUAGUUGGUGGGGUAAAGGCCUACCAAGGCGACGAUCCGUAACUGGUCUGAGAGGAUGAUCAGUCACACUGGAACUGAGACACGGUCCAGACUCCUACGGGGAGCAGCAGUGGGGAAUAUUGGGCAAUGGGCGAAAGCCUGAUGCAGCCAUGCCGCGUGGGUGAAGAAGGUCUUCGGAUUGUAAAACACUUUUAGGUGGGAAGAAAGGCAGUAAAGUUAAACCUUGCUGUUUUGACGGUACCAAAAAAAAAAGCACCGGCUAACUUCGUG